UACGGAGGAGGAUAGCGUUGUUCGGAAUUACUGGGCGUAAAGCGCACGUAGGCGGACUAGUAAGUCAGGGGUGAAAUCCCGGGGCUCAACCCUGGAACUGCCUUUGAUACUGCUAGUCUUGAGUUCGAGAGAGGUGAGUGGAAUUCCGAGUGUAGAGGUGAAAUUCGUAGAUAUUCGGAGGAACACCAGUGGCGAAGGCGGCUCACUGGCUCGAUACUGACGCUGAGGUGCGAAAGCGUGGGGAGCAAACAGG
This 253-nucleotide ribosomal RNA is filed under the name uncultured bacterium. Its description in RNAcentral is "partial 16S ribosomal RNA". It matches the Rfam family "Bacterial small subunit ribosomal RNA", at positions 524 to 776 of the family's 1533-position model. The record is from RNAcentral.